Molecule: non-coding RNA, 786 nt
Organism: Callithrix jacchus (white-tufted-ear marmoset)
Lineage: Eukaryota; Metazoa; Chordata; Mammalia; Primates; Cebidae
Source: the annotation of a RefSeq genome assembly
GGUCGCCAAUUGAUGUCUCUAUUUCGAGUUGUCUUCAACUAGAAACAUCCAGCAGAGGAUGGGCCUAAAGAUGUAGUGAGAGACCUAAUCCCCAAGCCCUAGAGAUGUGAGUGGGAACACUUGGAUGAACUUGCCCAGUCUAUGAAUAUGGUAAAGCAACUCUGUGCUCUGUUUUACUUAUAGUAAUUGGUUUCUUAGAACAUAGGCAUUUAUGGAGGCAAUGAUGUCACUUUGGGAACUGCCAUGAGAGAACAAGGACGUCCCUCCUCCUCUGCUUCUGCUCACAGUGACUCUGAUUGGGCAAAGCUCCCAUCGUGCCCUGACCCUGCCAUGAACACCAGGCUCCUCUGCUGGGCAGCCCUCUGUCUCCUGGGAGGAGAACUCACAGAAACUGGAGUUACCCAGUCCCCCAGAUAUAAGAUUACAGAGAAAAGGCAGGCUGUGGCUUUUGGGUGCAAUCCUGUAUCUGGCCAUGCUGGCCUUUACUGGUACCAGCAGAUCCUGGGACAGGGCCCAAAGCUUCUGAUUCAAUAUCAGAAUAAGGAUGUAGUAGACGACUCACAGUUGCCUAAGGAUCAAUUUUCUGCAGAGAGGCUCAAAGGAGUAGAAUCCACUCUCAAGAUCCAGCCUGCAGAGCUUGGGGACUCGGCCGUGUAUCUCUGUGCCAGCAGCUUAGCCACAGCGUUGCAGAGACACUUCCUCCUGUGCAGAAAACGGCAGGGCUCCUCUUCUCUAUCAGCUCACAGCAGCCUUUCCUUAUUCCUCAUCUUCCCGGGGAAGAAGUGA